AAAUAAUAGGUGCCGUUCGAAGCUCUCGAGAUGACAAACGCAGUUAUCGGAUUACUUUGGAAUUUCUACGGUUGAAUCAAAAGUAAUUUAAAGGUCAAAUUUGGCUAGGGUUUGUUCUUUCUCAAUGAUUGAUGAUGAAAAUGAGUUUUUGAACUCAUAUACAUGUAUAUGUACACAUAUUCCCGUCCAUAAUAUCAUAGGGAAUGACCAAAGUGCCUUUAAAAUUUAAAUAAUGUCAAAUCUGUCCUUUGGUGGACUGUUUUGAUAAGCUAAAGUAGAUCGACCAUAACUCUUUGCUCCGAUAUCGGAUUUGGGUGAAAUUGGUAUCGUUGGAAAGAUAAUUCAAAGGGAUUUCAUUUCAUAUAAAGUAGGCUACCCAGUUCGUCCUGUACAAGGAGUUAUG
This 403-nucleotide long non-coding RNA is filed under the name Capsicum annuum. RNAcentral describes it as "long non-coding RNA (CANN_LNC019683)". Lineage: Eukaryota; Viridiplantae; Streptophyta; Magnoliopsida; Solanales; Solanaceae. The record is from RNAcentral.